GACGAACGCUGGCGGCGUGCUUAACACAUGCAAGUCGAACGCUGAAGACCUGGCUUUUGUUGGGUUGGAUGAGUGGCGAACGGGUGAGUAACACGUGAGUAACCUGCCCUCUUCUUUGGGAUAACGCCCGGAAACGGGUGCUAAUACUGGAUAUUCACUGAUCUUCGCAUGGGGGUUGGUGGAAAGGUUUGUUCUGGUGGGGGAUGGGCUCGCGGCCUAUCAGCUUGUUGGUGGGGUGAUGGCCUACCAAGGCUUUGACGGGUAGCCGGCCGGGGAGGGUGACCGGUCACAUUGGGACUGAGAUACGGCCCAGACUCCUACGGGAGGCAGCAGUGGGGAAUAGUGCACAAUGGGCGAAAGCCUGAUGCAGCGACGCCGCGUGAGGGAUGGAGGCCUUCGGGUUGGAAACCUCUUUCGCUCAUGGUCAAGCCGCAACUGUGGGUUGUGGUGAGGGUAGUGGGUAAAGAAGCGCCGGCUAACUACGUG
RNAcentral lists this ribosomal RNA (486 nucleotides) under uncultured bacterium. RNAcentral's name for it is "partial 16S ribosomal RNA". It matches the Rfam family "Bacterial small subunit ribosomal RNA", at positions 28 to 507 of the family's 1533-position model. The record is from RNAcentral.